AUGCCGUCAAUCGCCGGCGGAGGAGGCUGGCGCCUCUUCUCCGCGGGCAGGGGCAUCUCCUGGCUGCGCCUCCGCCGCCUCCAGCGCCCGCUCCUCUCGUCCCUCGCCAGCGGCAGCGGCGGCGACGCGCCGCAUCUGCCCGUGGUCAUCGUCGGGGCCGGACCCGUCGGGCUCGCCCUCUCCUUCCUCCUCGCCAAAUUCGGCAUCAAAUGCACGGUCCUCGAGAGAAGCAUGGAGUUCACUCGGCAUCCCCGAGCGCAUUUCAUCAACAACCGCACCAUGGAGAUCUUCCGCAAGUUUGACGGCUUGGCCUGGGACAUCGAGAGGGCUCAGCCGCCGGUGGAUCUGUGGAGGAAGUUCGUGUACUGUACCUCGCUCUCCGGAUCCAUUCUUGGUUCGGUUGAUCACAUGAAGCAGGAAGAUUUCAACAAGGUCAUUAGUCCUAUAUCGGUCGCACACUUCUCGCAGUACAAGCUAGUGGAUUUGCUACUCAAGAAACUGGAUGGCGUUGGCUUUCAGACGUGCUUUCCUGAUGAGCUUGGCGGUAGCUCCACUCAAGAUUUGCUGCUGGAAAACAAGAUACUGAUGGGGCACGAGUGUAGUUCCAUUCAGCUGACCGAUGAUGGUAUUUUGGUUGGAGCAUCGUUUAACAAUGGGGGGAGGGUGCAGGAGAGGAAGCUUCACUGUGGCCUUCUUCUAGGGGCAGAUGGCGCUAGGAGCAAAGUGCGUGAGUUGGCUGGUAUAUCUAUGAAAGGUGAAAGGGACUUGCAGAAAUUGGUCAGUGUUCAUUUUGUGAGCAGGGAUCUUGGAAAGUAUUUAUCUAGUGAGAGGCCUGGCAUGCUGUUCUUUAUUUUCAACCCUGAUGCAAUUGGUGUGCUUGUGGCACAUGACCUGGAGCAUGGGGAAUUUGUGUUGCAGGUUCCAUUUUAUCCACCUCAGCAGAUGUUUGAGGAUUUUAAUGCAAAGGUGUGCGAGCAAAUUAUUGUCAAAUUGGUUGGAUGGGAGCCAGCAGAUAUUCAGGUUUUAGACAUAAAACCAUGGGCAAUGCAUGCUGAAGUUGCAGAGAAAUAUGUUGGCUGCGACAAUCGUGUAAUCCUAGUUGGUGAUGCUGCUCACCGCUUUCCUCCUGCUGGUGGUUUUGGAAUGAACACUGGUGUUCAGGAUGCACAUAAUUUGGCUUGGAAAUUGUGUUUACUUCUAAAUGGCAUCGCUGACCCAUCAAUUAUACAAACUUAUGAGUCAGAGCGCAAACCUGUUGCCAUUUUUAACACAGAACUUAGUUUGGAAAACUUCAAGGCAGCAAUGUCUAUUCCUGCUACCCUUGGUCUUGAUCCAACCAUUGCAAACUCAGUGCACAGAGUAAUCAACAGCAGCCUAGGAUCAAUCAUUCCAAGAAAUGUACAGAAGGUGGUUCUGGAAGGAUUAUUUUCCAUUGGUCGGACACAAGUCUCGGACUACAUUUUGAGUGAGAACAAUCCCCUUGGAUCCUUGAGACUAGCAAGAUUGAGAAGUAUUCUUGAUGAAGGAAAAAGUCUACAGCUGCAGUUCCCUGCAGAGGAUCUUGGCUUCCGCUAUGGAAAAGGAGCCCUAGUUGCUGAAGAUUGUGCUGAGAGCACUUAUCAAGCAGAAGAACUGAAGCAUUCUAAGAGGUCAUCAGGAGAGUACAUUCCUUCUGCUAAGGUUGGUUCACGGCUACCACACAUGCUGGUGAGACCACUGUCCGCUUCGAGUGAGGGUGUGUUCUCAACACUGGACCUAGUAAGUGGGGAUAAAAUUGAGUUUGUUAUCAUCAUUGCACCACUGAAAGAGUCAUAUAAGCUUGCCCAGGCUAUGCUGAUGAUAGCAGAUGAAUUCGAGCUAUCAGCCAAAGUUUGUGUCAUGUGGCCACAAGGUUCAAGGGACGUGGAAGCGAAAGGGAGCAUAUCUGAGUUGGCACCCUGGACAAACUAUGUCGAUGUCGAGGAAAUACCAAGGGCAACUGUGAACUCAUCAUGGUGGGAGAUGUGUCAGGUAAAUAACAAAAGUGUUAUUUUGGUUAGGCCUGAUGAGCACAUAGCAUGGAGAGCAGAACCUGACAUGGUGAGAGAUGCUUAUUCAGACGUUAGGAGAGUCUUUUCUCAAAUUUUGAGUUUAAAUAGGCCCCAGGUGUAA
This 2151-nucleotide ribosomal RNA is filed under the name Triticum aestivum (bread wheat). RNAcentral's name for it is "partial small subunit ribosomal RNA". The record is from RNAcentral. Lineage: Eukaryota; Viridiplantae; Streptophyta; Magnoliopsida; Poales; Poaceae.